This 1663-nucleotide ribosomal RNA is filed under the name Escherichia coli. Its description in RNAcentral is "partial 23S ribosomal RNA". It matches the Rfam family "Bacterial large subunit ribosomal RNA", at positions 588 to 2236 of the family's 2925-position model. The record is from RNAcentral. Lineage: Bacteria; Pseudomonadati; Pseudomonadota; Gammaproteobacteria; Enterobacterales; Enterobacteriaceae.
GGCGUGUGACUGCGUACCUUUUGUAUAAUGGGUCAGCGACUUAUAUUCUGUAGCAAGGUUAACCGAAUAGGGGAGCCGAAGGGAAACCGAGUCUUAACUGGGCGUUAAGUUGCAGGGUAUAGACCCGAAACCCGGUGAUCUAGCCAUGGGCAGGUUGAAGGUUGGGUAACACUAACUGGAGGACCGAACCGACUAAUGUUGAAAAAUUAGCGGAUGACUUGUGGCUGGGGGUGAAAGGCCAAUCAAACCGGGAGAUAGCUGGUUCUCCCCGAAAGCUAUUUAGGUAGCGCCUCGUGAAUUCAUCUCCGGGGGUAGAGCACUGUUUCGGCAAGGGGGUCAUCCCGACUUACCAACCCGAUGCAAACUGCGAAUACCGGAGAAUGUUAUCACGGGAGACACACGGCGGGUGCUAACGUCCGUCGUGAAGAGGGAAACAACCCAGACCGCCAGCUAAGGUCCCAAAGUCAUGGUUAAGUGGGAAACGAUGUGGGAAGGCCCAGACAGCCAGGAUGUUGGCUUAGAAGCAGCCAUCAUUUAAAGAAAGCGUAAUAGCUCACUGGUCGAGUCGGCCUGCGCGGAAGAUGUAACGGGGCUAAACCAUGCACCGAAGCUGCGGCAGCGACGCUUAUGCGUUGUUGGGUAGGGGAGCGUUCUGUAAGCCUGCGAAGGUGUGCUGUGAGGCAUGCUGGAGGUAUCAGAAGUGCGAAUGCUGACAUAAGUAACGAUAAAGCGGGUGAAAAGCCCGCUCGCCGGAAGACCAAGGGUUCCUGUCCAACGUUAAUCGGGGCAGGGUGAGUCGACCCCUAAGGCGAGGCCGAAAGGCGUAGUCGAUGGGAAACAGGUUAAUAUUCCUGUACUUGGUGUUACUGCGAAGGGGGGACGGAGAAGGCUAUGUUGGCCGGGCGACGGUUGUCCCGGUUUAAGCGUGUAGGCUGGUUUUCCAGGCAAAUCCGGAAAAUCAAGGCUGAGGCGUGAUGACGAGGCACUACGGUGCUGAAGCAACAAAUGCCCUGCUUCCAGGAAAAGCCUCUAAGCAUCAGGUAACAUCAAAUCGUACCCCAAACCGACACAGGUGGUCAGGUAGAGAAUACCAAGGCGCUUGAGAGAACUCGGGUGAAGGAACUAGGCAAAAUGGUGCCGUAACUUCGGGAGAAGGCACGCUGAUAUGUAGGUGAAGUCCCUCGCGGAUGGAGCUGAAAUCAGUCGAAGAUACCAGCUGGCUGCAACUGUUUAUUAAAAACACAGCACUGUGCAAACACGAAAGUGGACGUAUACGGUGUGACGCCUGCCCGGUGCCGGAAGGUUAAUUGAUGGGGUCAGCGCAAGCGAAGCUCUUGAUCGAAGCCCCGGUAAACGGCGGCCGUAACUAUAACGGUCCUAAGGUAGCGAAAUUCCUUGUCGGGUAAGUUCCGACCUGCACGAAUGGCGUAAUGAUGGCCAGGCUGUCUCCACCCGAGACUCAGUGAAAUUGAACUCGCUGUGAAGAUGCAGUGUACCCGCGGCAAGACGGAAAGACCCCGUGAACCUUUACUAUAGCUUGACACUGAACAUUGAGCCUUGAUGUGUAGGAUAGGUGGGAGGCUUGGAAGUGUGGACGCCAGUCUGCAUGGAGCCGACCUUGAAAUACCACCCUUUAAUGUUUGAUGUUCUAACGUUGACCCGU